Molecule: ribosomal RNA, 1023 nt
Filed under: Rhizammina sp. 157
Lineage: Eukaryota; Foraminifera; Astrorhizida; Astrorhizidae
Description: SSU rRNA
Rfam family: Eukaryotic small subunit ribosomal RNA
Source: RNAcentral
CUUACCGGGUCCGGACACACUGAGGAUUGACAGGCAAUCAAUGUGAGAUUGCAUUCAUUUGUCGUCUCAUAUUAUAAAUAUGCUAGUCCUUUCAUGAUUAUGUGAUAGGUGGUGCAUGGCCGUUCUUAGUUCGUGGAGUGAUCUGUCUGCUUAAUUGCGUUUCGCAUGGGACUUAUAAAUAAGUGUGCUACUUUUCUUGUUUCGCUUUUUAUAUUUUAACUUUUAGUUAUAUUUAUAAAUUGCGUUUACUAUUAUGAAAUGUCUGCGCACAUUAGGUCCUGAAAGCAACGAACGUGACCGCAUCCUCUUGUUGCCUUUUACUUAAACGAACAGUCUUAUUUUUAAUAAAUUCGGCUGCGAGUUUUAACAAAAGAGUGCUUUAUAAAACUAGAGGGACCGCUGCGACUUUUUUAAGCCAGAGGAAGGUUGCGGCAAUAACAGGUCUGUGAUGCCCUUAGAUGUUCCGGGCUGCACACGUGCUACAAUGAUUAUUGCAGUGAGCAUCUCAUUUAUUAUAAAACGCUGUUUUAUUGACCAUUAUGAUUUAUUGUUUUGGUUGAGCAGCCAAGCCUGCUUCGAAAGUUCGCAGGUAAUCAAUUGGAAGUAAUGAUUUCCCUUUUUUUAAAAUUCAGAUUUUAAUUUGUCUUUUUGUGAAGCACACUAUAUGUUGCUCCCUUCCCUGGCCGUUUGCUUUUUUGUCUUUCGGUCUUUAGUGGUUGGGUGUCUUUUCAACAUGUGCUUUUUGUCAAUUCAUGGUGGGGACAGACCAUUGUUAAUUGUUGGUCUCGGUCUUAACUAGGAAUGCCUUGUACGGGUCUUUGGUUCAACAAACCACCCGGAAUACGUCCCUGCCCUUUGUACACACCGCCCGUCGCUCUUACCGAUGGACUUCUCUGUGAGUUUGAGGGACUGGGUACCUUAGCUUCUGCUUUAAAACUUAAGCUACAAUCACUUAUGGAAACUUAAACGAACAGUGUGGUCUAAAGGAAAGAGAAGUCGUAACAAGGCAUCGGUAGGUGAACC